AUACUUACCUGGACGGGGUCGAUKGGCGAUCAAGAAGGCCCAUGGCCUAGACCAGUGGCCCACAUUGCACUUUGUGGGUGCGCUGGUCUACCAUCUCCCCAAGUGGGAGAGUGGACGUCRUAAUUUGUGGUAGAGGGGGUACGCGUUCGCGCGGCCCCCGC
Dichanthelium oligosanthes is the source of this 161-nucleotide small nuclear RNA. It matches the Rfam family "U1 spliceosomal RNA". From Rfam's summary of the family: U1 is a small nuclear RNA (snRNA) component of the spliceosome (involved in pre-mRNA splicing). Its 5' end forms complementary base pairs with the 5' splice junction, thus defining the 5' donor site of an intron. Lineage: Eukaryota; Viridiplantae; Streptophyta; Magnoliopsida; Poales; Poaceae. The record is from Rfam.